Molecule: non-coding RNA, 92 nt
Organism: Fusarium musae
Lineage: Eukaryota; Fungi; Ascomycota; Sordariomycetes; Hypocreales; Nectriaceae
Source: the annotation of a RefSeq genome assembly
UCCGGUGUGGUGUAUCGGUUAUCAUUCCGCGUUUUCAAAUUGAACCGCUAACAAGCACCGCGGCGAGCGGGGUUCGACUCCCCGCACCGGAG